Molecule: ribosomal RNA, 51 nt
Filed under: Candidozyma heveicola
Lineage: Eukaryota; Fungi; Ascomycota; Pichiomycetes; Serinales; Metschnikowiaceae
Description: [Candida] heveicola partial 26S ribosomal RNA
Source: RNAcentral
UUGUCCCCUCAAAUCAGGUAGGAUUACCCGCUGAACUUAAGCAUAUCAAAA